This 571-nucleotide unclassified non-coding RNA is filed under the name Hevea brasiliensis (rubber tree). The record is from RNAcentral. Lineage: Eukaryota; Viridiplantae; Streptophyta; Magnoliopsida; Malpighiales; Euphorbiaceae.
UUUCUUCCAAACCAGAGCCGAAGAAAAAGGCCAAAAAGAGGACAUGGGUAUAGUGGAAGAAGCUCAUAAUGUGAAAGUCCUGGGCACAGGAGAGCAGGUGCUAGUUCUGGCUCAUGGAUUUGGCACCGAUCAAUCUGUUUGGAAGCACCUUGUCCCUCAUCUUCUUGACGAUUUCAAAGUCAUUUUGUAUGAUAAUAUGGGUGCUGGUACUACAAAUCCUGAUUACUUCGAUUUUGAUAGAUAUUCCAGUCUCGAAGGCUAUGCUUAUGAUUUGCUUGCCAUUUUGGAGGAAUUUCAAGUCGAAUCUUGUAUUUUAGUUGGUCACUCUGUUUCUGGUAUGAUUGGCGCUAUUGCCUCCCUUAGCCGCCCAGAUCUCUUCUCCAAAAUCGUUAUGAUCUCUGCUUCUCCAAGGUAUUUGAAUGAUGUGGACUAUUAUGGAGGAUUUGAGCAAGACGAUCUAAACCAACUAUUUGAAGCAAUGCAAUCCAAUUACAAGGCAUGGUGCUCAGGGUUCGCACCCCUAGCCGUGGGUGGAGACAUGGACUCGGUGGCAGUUCAAGAAUUUAGCCGC